This 484-nucleotide ribosomal RNA is filed under the name uncultured bacterium. RNAcentral describes it as "partial 16S ribosomal RNA". It matches the Rfam family "Bacterial small subunit ribosomal RNA", at positions 30 to 507 of the family's 1533-position model. The record is from RNAcentral.
AUUGAACGCUGGCGGCAGGCCUAACACAUGCAAGUCGAGCGGAUGAAGGGAGCUUGCUCCUGGAUUCAGCGGCGGACGGGUGAGUAAUGCCUAGGAAUCUGCCUGGUAGUGGGGGAUAACGUCCGGAAACGGGCGCUAAUACCGCAUCCGUCCUGAGGGAGAAAGUGGGGGAUCUUCGGACCUCACGCUAUCAGAUGAGCCUAGGUCGGAUUAGCUAGUUGGUGGGGUAAAGGCCUACCAAGGCGACGAUCCGUAACUGGUCUGAGAGGAUGAUCAGUCACACUGGAACUGAGACACGGUCCAGACUCCUACGGGAGGCAGCAGUGGGGAAUAUUGGACAAUGGGCGAAAGCCUGAUCCAGCCAUGCCGCGUGUGUGAAGAAGGUCUUCGGAUUGUAAAGCACUUUAAGUUGGGAGGAGGGGCAGUAAGUUAAUACCUUGCUGUUUUGACGUUACCAACAGAAUAAGCACCGGCUAACUUCGUG